RNAcentral lists this unclassified non-coding RNA (347 nucleotides) under uncultured Agaricales. Its description in RNAcentral is "sequence contains 5.8S rRNA gene, ITS2, 28S rRNA gene". The stretch from base 1 to 52 matches the Rfam family "5.8S ribosomal RNA", at positions 103 to 154 of the family's 154-position model. The record is from RNAcentral. Lineage: Eukaryota; Fungi; Basidiomycota; Agaricomycetes; Agaricales.
AACGCACCUUGCGCCUCUUGGUAUUCCGAGAGGCAUGCCUGUUUGAGUGUCAUUAAAUUCUCAACCUUAUAAGCUUUUGUUUAUAAGGCUUGGAUGUGGAGGCUUUGCUGGCUUGUUAAGAGUCGGCUCCUCUUAAAUACAUUAGUGGAAACUGUUUGUAGUCCGCAUUGGUGUGAUAAUUAUCAGCGCUAUUGUGGCUACAAGCUCUUGUGGUGUUCGUGUGGGAAGUGCAUGAAUUGUGCUCUUUCUGUUUCGUCUGACCCACGAUGAGUAUAGUGUCUGCUUCAAACCGUCCUGUAUUUGACUAUUUUGACCUCAAAUCAGGUAGGACUACCCGCUGAACUUAA